Molecule: long non-coding RNA, 1822 nt
Organism: Amphiprion ocellaris (clown anemonefish)
Lineage: Eukaryota; Metazoa; Chordata; Actinopteri; Pomacentridae
Exons: 2
Source: RefSeq, a predicted model, not a curated record
AAAAAAGAUUUAACAUGGUAAUAAAAUAUGUUGUGUCCAGGGGAUGGAGGGAGUUUAUUGAAGUCUUUUUGGGCUCAUAUGGGAAAUCAUUUAAAAUAUAAACUUGAUAUUCAGUCUAAGGAAACUGCAGAGCAACAGAAGAACCAACAAUAUCUCCUGUUUUCUCCUUUAAUGAGCCGACUCUUCUUGUGCUUUCAGACCAAAGAACUACAGACUCUUCACAACCUGCUCAAACUCUUGGUACAGGACCUCACCACACGGGUCAAGAAGGUUUCCGUCUCAUUUCUACUCUGAAGCUCACCUUCUCCUGCUCAAACUGCUGACAAAUGUUUCUGCUGCUCUAAAGUCUGGUCUCCAGAACUUCCUAAAAACUUUCAAAGUCUCUCCUGCUGCAGGUUGCUUUGUAGAACUGUUGCAGAAAACCUCACUAAACCACAUGGAGGGGCCUCAAGAUAGUCGUCCAAAUGAAACCGUACAAAAACCAAACUAGCACAACCCAAAUGCUAAAGUCUCCUGCAGCCUACCAGAGAACCUCUGAGAACAGAGAAUCAGGACAGGAACUCUUACCUUCUGGACAACCAACGUUGGUUCACAAGAAUACAGAAUGUGUCUGACCAAAAACCUCUAAAGACUCACUACAGCCAAGAUAAAGACACAACUCAGCUGCACCAAAUCCACUAAUCACUGCACACAUUAGCACCAUGUGCUAACUGUGGCUAAAGAAUCACCUUUAUCAGGACGACUAUCCAGUACAAAGCCCUAAAACACACCAAGAAACACAUUAAAGACGAUUUUACUGCUGGAAGCUGCAAGCCAACGCCUAAAGAACAACUAAAGCAACAGAGCCAAACCCGGUUCAGUAGUGGAGAAGCAGAGGAAAUGUUUGGCUGCAGCCACAUAAAGCAGGAAGACACUGAGCUGCUCAGGUGUUCCUGAUAACACCAAGCAGCCACCUGGACAGCCAAUGCGAACACAGCUUACUGGAAGUCCAGAGGGCUGGGUUAGUGAAGGAAAUUUAAAGUUGAAGCAGAAAGUUAACAAAGAAAGUUGAAAACCACCUUCUGAUACCUGAAAUCUCUGAGUUUUCACACAAAGAACACCUGAACAUGUCAAACUGGUUUCAUAGUAGAACCAUCAUUGUAAAAACGUCAUAGUAUGGUGUGUUGCUCAAAAAACAUUAGGACCCGGCUGUCAGGGGACAAACAUGUAAGAAACAUGAGAACAGAGAGAACCCAACCAGUAGAGCCGCGAUUCCACAAGCACCUACUCGGCGCGGUACGGUUCGCCACUAUUCUAUUUGACUCGGCUCGUCUCGGUCUAGUUGUUUUUCCAUAUAGCCUCAUCGUGGGUGGAGUCGUCAUAGCGCAGCGAGCCGAAAGUCCCUUAACGUCAUUUGUGUGCGACACAAACGCAACACAACGGAGGCGAUGGUUCACCUGCUGCUCGGUCUGUGGCUUUCGGUCAGAUUCAAAGUAAUAGAAGAGUCGGAGAAAGCUGAGAACGGCGAGUCGAAACACUCAGGAGACACACGGGAGAGUUUGGGAGGCGAGCAGCAGUAUCAAGCCGAAGACAAGAGGAUAUGAACUCGACGACAUAUGAGGAUGCUCUCUGAUGAGACUUCAUGGGAUUUACCUGAAGCAGCAGCACAUGAGCCUGCAGUGGCACAAGGUGUAGAGGAGGAGGACAGAGAUGUACAGGAUGCACUGAUGCACUACGUGUCAUGCAAAGUUAUUCUUCUUGUUAUACUUCUGUUUUUCGGUCCCCGGACCGCUAUUGUUUUCUUUAAUGCAAUUCUGACAAUAAACUUUUGUAGAUGUGUCUA